RNAcentral lists this ribosomal RNA (403 nucleotides) under uncultured bacterium. RNAcentral describes it as "partial 16S ribosomal RNA". It matches the Rfam family "Bacterial small subunit ribosomal RNA", at positions 28 to 526 of the family's 1533-position model. The record is from RNAcentral.
GACGAACGCUGGCGGCGUGCCUAAUACAUGCAAGUCGAACGCAGUGGGGACGGGUGAGUAACACGUGGGUAAACUCCCAUCAGAGGGGAUAACACUUGGAAACAGGUGCUAAACCGAUACUGAUGGAUGGACCCGCCGUGCAUUAGCUAGUUGGUGGGGUAAAGGCUCACAAGGGCCACGAUGCAUAGCCGACCUGUGAGGGUAACUGGCCACACUGGGACUGAGACACGGACCAGACUCCUACGUGAGGCAGCAGUAGGGAAUCUUCGUCAAUGGACGAAAGUCUGACCGAGCAACGCCGCGUGAGUGCAGAAGGUUUUCGGAUCGUAAACCUCUGUUGUUAGAGAAUCGGUAUCUAACCAGAAAGCACCGGCUAACUCCGUGCCAGCAGCCGCGGUAAUUC